CCCUUAGAUGUUCUGGGCCGCACGCGUGCUACACUGAGUGGAUCAGCGGGUCAGGUUGCGCGAAAGUGUUUCCUAAUCUUUAAAUCCGCUCGUGAUGGGGAUUGACGGUUGCAAUUUUCCGUCAUGAACGAGGAAUACCUUGUAAGCGUGGGUCAUCAUCCCGCGCUGAAUACGUCCCUGCCCUUUGUACACACCGCCCGUCGCUCCUACCGAUUGAGUGGUCCGGUGAGGCUUUGGGAUCUGAGCGGAAAGAGCGUUUCGCUGUUUCUGCUCGGAAAACUCAGUCGAACCUUAUCAUUUAGAGGAAGGAGAAGUCGUAACA
Molecule: ribosomal RNA, 322 nt
Filed under: uncultured eukaryote
Lineage: Eukaryota
Description: partial 18S ribosomal RNA
Rfam family: Eukaryotic small subunit ribosomal RNA
Source: RNAcentral